GAAAUGCGAUAAGUAAAGCGAAUUGCAGAAUUCAGUGAAUCAUCGAAUCUUUGAACGCACAUUGCGCCCGCUAGUAUUCUGGCGGGCAUGCCUGUCUGAGCGUCAUUUCAACCCUCAUUCCCGGCUUCGUGUCGGGGAUGGUGUUGGGGAUCGGCCUCCCGGUUGCGGGCGGCCGGCCCCGAAAUAGAGUGGCGACCACGCCGUAGCCUCCUCUGCGUAGUAGUGAAAACCUCGCAGGCGGAGUGCGGUGCGGCCUGCCGUAAAACCCCCAACUCUUCUAAGGUUGACCUCAGAUCAGGUAGGAAUACCCGCUGAACUUAAGC
RNAcentral lists this unclassified non-coding RNA (323 nucleotides) under plant metagenome. RNAcentral's name for it is "partial contains 5.8S ribosomal RNA, internal transcribed spacer 2, and large subunit ribosomal RNA". The stretch from base 1 to 105 matches the Rfam family "5.8S ribosomal RNA", at positions 50 to 154 of the family's 154-position model. The record is from RNAcentral.